This 372-nucleotide ribosomal RNA is filed under the name uncultured organism. RNAcentral describes it as "partial 16S ribosomal RNA". It matches the Rfam family "Bacterial small subunit ribosomal RNA", at positions 527 to 896 of the family's 1533-position model. The record is from RNAcentral.
GUAGGUGGCAAGCGUUGUCCGGAAUUAUUGGGCGUAAAGCGCGCGCAGGCGGUUCUUUAAGUCUGAUGUGAAAGCCCACGGCUCAACCGUGGAGGGUCAUUGGAAACUGGAGAACUUGAGUACAGAAGAGGAAAGCGGAAUUCCACGUGUAGCGGUGAAAUGCGUAGAGAUGUGGAGGUACACCAGUGGCGAAGGCGGCUUUCUGGUCUGUAACUGACGCUGAGGCGCGAAAGCGUGGGGAGCAAACAGGAUUAGAUACCCUGGUAGUCCACGCCGUAAACGAUGAGUGCUAAGUGUUAGGGGGGUUUCCGCCCCCCUUAGUGCUGCAGCUAACGCAUUAAGCACUCCGCCUGGGAUACGGCCGCAAGGCUG